Molecule: transfer RNA, 71 nt
Filed under: Marmota monax (woodchuck)
Lineage: Eukaryota; Metazoa; Chordata; Mammalia; Rodentia; Sciuridae
Description: tRNA.Ala
Source: RNAcentral
UGGGGUUGUGGCUUAGUGGUAGAGUUCUUGCCUAGCAUGCAUAAAGCCCUGGGUUCAAUCUCCACCACUAA